AUUGAACGCUGGCGGCAUGCCUUACACAUGCAAGUCGAACGGCAGCACGGGAGCAAUCCUGGUGGCGAGUGGCGAACGGGUGAGUAAAGUAUCGGAACGUGCCCAGUCGUGAGGGAUAACGUAGCGAAAGUUACGCUAAUACCGCAUACGAUCUAUGGAUGAAAGCGGGGAUCGCAAGACCUCGCGCGAUUGGAGCGGCCGAUAUCAGAUUAGGUAGUUGGUGGGGUAAAGGCUCACCAAGCCGACGAUCUGUAGCUAGUCUGAGAGGACGACCAGCCACACUGGGACUGAGACACGGCCCAGACUCCUACGGGAGGCAGCAGAGGGGAAUUUUGGACAAUGGGCGAAAGCCUGAUCCAGCCAUGCCGCGUGCAGGAUGAAGGCCUUCGGGUUGUAAACUGCUUUUGUACGGAACGAAAAAGUUUGGCCUAAUAAGCUGAGCUCAUGACGGUACCGUAAGAAUAAGCACCGGCUAACUACGUGCCAGCCGCCGCAGUAA
RNAcentral lists this ribosomal RNA (499 nucleotides) under uncultured bacterium. RNAcentral's name for it is "partial 16S ribosomal RNA". It matches the Rfam family "Bacterial small subunit ribosomal RNA", at positions 30 to 523 of the family's 1533-position model. The record is from RNAcentral.